This 325-nucleotide ribosomal RNA is filed under the name uncultured eukaryote. Its description in RNAcentral is "partial 18S ribosomal RNA". It matches the Rfam family "Eukaryotic small subunit ribosomal RNA", at positions 1470 to 1796 of the family's 1831-position model. The record is from RNAcentral.
CCCUUAGAUGUUCUGGGCCGCACGCGCGCUACACUGACUGGUGCAACAAGUGUCGCUCCUUGGCCGAUAGGCCUGGGCAAUCUUUGAACGCCAGUCGUGAUGGGGAUAGAUUCUUGCAAUUUUUGAUCUUCAACGAGGAAUUCCUAGUAAACGCGAGUCAUCAACUCGCAUUGAUUACGUCCCUGCCCUUUGUACACACCGCCCGUCGCACCUACCGAUUGAAUGGUCCGGUGAACCCUCCGGAUCGGCUCGCGCCAGCGCAAGUUGAGCAAAGGCCGAGAAGUUGGGUAAACCUUACCAUUUAGAGGAAGGUGAAGUCGUAACA